GAUGAACGCUGGCGGCGCGCCUAAUACAUGCAAGUCGAGCGAACAGACGAGGAGCUUGCUCCUCUGACGUUAGCGGCGGACGGGUGAGUAACACGUGGAUAACCUACCUAUAAGACUGGGAUAACUUCGGGAAACCGGAGCUAAUACCGGAUAAUAUAUUGAACCGCAUGGUUCAAUAGUGAAAGACGGUUUUGCUGUCACUUAUAGAUGGAUCCGCGCCGCAUUAGCUAGUUGGUAAGGUAACGGCUUACCAAGGCAACGAUGCGUAGCCGACCUGAGAGGGGGAUCGGCCACACUGGAACUGAGACACGGUCCAGACUCCUACGGGAGGCAGCAGUAGGGAAUCUUCCGCAAUGGGCGAAAGCCUGACGGAGCAACGCCGCGUGAGUGAUGAAGGUCUUCGGAUCGUAAAACGCUGUUAUUAGGGAAGAACAAAUGUGUAAGUAACUAUGCACGUCUUGACGGUACCUAAUCAGAAAACCACGGCUAACUACGU
Molecule: ribosomal RNA, 496 nt
Filed under: uncultured bacterium
Lineage: Bacteria
Description: partial 16S ribosomal RNA
Rfam family: Bacterial small subunit ribosomal RNA
Source: RNAcentral